This 253-nucleotide ribosomal RNA is filed under the name uncultured bacterium. Its description in RNAcentral is "partial 16S ribosomal RNA". It matches the Rfam family "Bacterial small subunit ribosomal RNA", at positions 524 to 776 of the family's 1533-position model. The record is from RNAcentral.
UACGUAGUGUGCAAGCGUUGUCCGGAAUUAUUGGGCGUAAAUAGCUCUUAUGCUGUUCGUCUCGUCGGCUGUGAAAUCCCGAGGCUCAACCUCGGGUCUGCAGUCGAUACGGGCGGACUGGAGUUCGGCAGGGGAGACUGGAAUUCCUGGUGUAGCGGUGAAAUGCGCAGAUAUCAGGAGGAACACCGGUGGCGAAGGCGGGUCUCUGGGCCGAUACUGACGCUGAGGAGCGAAAGCGUGGGGAGCGAACAGG